This 253-nucleotide ribosomal RNA is filed under the name uncultured bacterium. Its description in RNAcentral is "partial 16S ribosomal RNA". It matches the Rfam family "Bacterial small subunit ribosomal RNA", at positions 524 to 776 of the family's 1533-position model. The record is from RNAcentral.
UACCGAGGUCUCAAGCGUUGUUCGGAUUCAUUGGGCGUAAAGGGUGUGUAGGCGGUUGCUUAAGUUUGGUGUGAAAUCUCCCGGCUUAACUGGGAGGGUGCGCCGAAUACUGAGUGACUAGAGUGCGGGAGAGGAGAGUGGAAUUCCUGGUGUAGCGGUGAAAUGCGUAGAUAUCAGGAGGAACACCGGUGGUGUAGACGGCUCUCUGGACCGUAACUGACGCUGAGACACGAAGGCGUGGGUAGCAAACAGG